GAUGAACGCUGGCGGCGUGCCUAAUACAUGCAAGUCGAGCGAACGGACGAGAAGCUUGCUUUUCUGAUGUUAGCGGCGGACGGGUGAGUAACACGUGGAUAACCUACCUAUAAGACUGGGAUAACUUCGGGAAACCGGAGCUAAUACCGGAUAAUAUUUUGAACCGCAUGGUUCAAAAGUGAAAGACGGUCUUGCUGUCACUUAUAGAUGGAUCCGCGCUGCAUUAGCUAGUUGGUAAGGUAACGGCUUACCAAGGCAACGAUGCAUAGCCGACCUGAGAGGCUGUUCGGCCACACUGGAACUGAGACACGGUCCAGACUCCUACGGGAGGCAGCAGUAGGGAAUCUUCCGCAAUGGGCGAAAGCCUGACGGAGCAACGCCGAGUGAGUGAUGAAGGUCUUCGGAUCGUAAAACUCUGUUAUUAGGGAAGAACAUAUGUGUAAGUAACUGUGCACAUCUUGACGUUACCUAAUCAGAAAGCCACGGCUAACUACGUG
Molecule: ribosomal RNA, 497 nt
Filed under: uncultured bacterium
Lineage: Bacteria
Description: partial 16S ribosomal RNA
Rfam family: Bacterial small subunit ribosomal RNA
Source: RNAcentral